AGAGUUUCAUCCUGGCUCAGGAUGAACGCUGGCGGCGUGCCUAACACAUGCAAGUCGAACGAAGCUUGACGGUGGAACUCUUCGGAGGGAAACCUGAUAUGACUUAGUGGCGGACGGGUGAGUAACACGUGAGCAACCUGCCUUUCAGAGGGGGACAACGACUGGAAACGGUCGCUAAUACCGCAUGAUAUGUUCGGAUGGCAUCAUCUGAACAUCAAAGAUUUAUCGCUGAAAGAUGGGCUCGCGUCUGAUUAGAUAGUUGGUGAGGUAACGGCUCACCAAGUCGACGAUCAGUAGCCGGACUGAGAGGUUGAACGGCCACAUUGGGACUGAGAUACGGCCCAGACUCCUACGGGAGGCAGCAGUGGGGAAUAUUGCACAAUGGGGGAAACCCUGAUGCAGCAACGCCGCGUGAAGGAAGACGGUUUUCGGAUUGUAAACUUCUUUUCUUUGUGAAGAAACAAAUGACGGUAGCAAAGGAAUAAGCAUCGGCUAACUACGUGCCAGCAGCCGCGGUAAUACGUAGGAUGCAAGCGUUAUCCGGAUUUACUGGGUGUAAAGGGAGCGCAGGCGGGACUUCAAGUUGGAUGUGAAAUGUCAAGGCUUAACCAUGGCACUGCAUCCAAAACUGUAGUUCUUGAGUGGAGUAGAGGUAAGCGGAAUUCCGAGUGUAGCGGUGAAAUGCGUAGAUAUUCGGAGGAACACCAGUGGCGAAGGCGGCUUACUGGGCUCUAACUGACGCUGAGGCUCGAAAGUGUGGGGAGCAAACAGGAUUAGAUACCCUGGUAGUCCACACUGUAAACGAUCCAGAAAGGUGUGGGGGGGUCUGACCCCUUCCGUGCCGGAGUUAACGCAAUCAGCUAUCCCACCUGGGGAGUACGGUCGCAAGAUUGAAACUCUAAGGAAUUGACGGGGGCCCGCACAAGCAGUGGAUUAUGUGGUUUAAUUUGAAGCAACGCGAAGAACCUUACCAGGUCUUGACAUCCAACUAACGAGAUAGAGAUAUGUUAGGUGCCCUUCGGGGAAAGUUGAGACAGGUGGUGCAUGGUUGUCGUCAGCUCGUGUCGUGAGAUGUUGGGUUAAGUCCCGCAACGAGCGCAACCCCUGUUCUCAGUAGCCAGCACGUAAAGGUGGGAACUCUGAGGAGACUGCCGGGGAUAACCCGGAGGAAGGUGGGGAUGAAGUCAAAUCAUCAUGCCCCUUAUAUCCUGGGCUACACACGUAAUACAAUGGCGGUCAACAGAGGGAUGCAAAGCCGCGAGGCAGAGCGAACCCCUAAAAGCCGUCCCAGUUCGGAUCGUGGGCUGCAACCCGCCCACGUGAAGUCGGAAUCGCUAGUAAUCGCGGAUCAGCAUGCCGCGGUGAAU
This 1367-nucleotide ribosomal RNA is filed under the name uncultured bacterium. RNAcentral describes it as "bacterial SSU rRNA". It matches the Rfam family "Bacterial small subunit ribosomal RNA", at positions 8 to 1367 of the family's 1533-position model. The record is from RNAcentral.